UCUACCCAGAGAGGCAUUGCAGGUGUGACUGAUGUGUUACGUGUGUGUCAGUAGGCGGCAGAAAGGAGAGAGGUUAUGUCUAUGCUCAGGAUUCUGACCUAUGAACAUCUGCAUUAUUAGUAACCUAACAUU
Small nucleolar RNA from Grammomys surdaster, 132 nucleotides. RefSeq annotates it as small nucleolar RNA SNORA17. NCBI's taxonomy places the organism in Eukaryota, Metazoa, Chordata, Mammalia, Rodentia, Muridae. The record is from RefSeq and is a predicted model, not a curated record. The transcript has a single exon.